UACGAAGGGUGCAAGCGUUACUCGGAAUUACUGGGCGUAAAGCGCGCGUAGGCGGUUGUGUCAGUCGGAUGUGAAAGCCCCGGGCUUAACCUGGGAACUGCAUUCGAUACUGCACAGCUAGAGUCUGGGAGAGGGAAGUGGAAUUCCGGGUGUAGCGGUGAAAUGCGUAGAUAUCCGGAGGAACACCAGUGGCGAAGGCGACUUCCUGGCCUAAGACUGACGCUGAGGUGCGAAAGCGUGGGGAGCAAACAGG
This 253-nucleotide ribosomal RNA is filed under the name uncultured bacterium. RNAcentral describes it as "partial 16S ribosomal RNA". It matches the Rfam family "Bacterial small subunit ribosomal RNA", at positions 524 to 776 of the family's 1533-position model. The record is from RNAcentral.